Long non-coding RNA from Dendroctonus ponderosae (mountain pine beetle), 589 nucleotides. RefSeq lists it as uncharacterized. The transcript is spliced from 3 exons. NCBI's taxonomy places the organism in Eukaryota, Metazoa, Arthropoda, Insecta, Coleoptera, Curculionidae. The record is from RefSeq and is a predicted model, not a curated record.
GUGAAAGUGACCACAAAGUGACACAAUUCGAAGGAAAGACCCAAAACCUAGGGGUGCAGUAGGCCCAAUUGCCAUAACUCUGUGGUGGCUUGCAGGCCUACAAGCAGGACUUCGCCGGUUGUACAUGAAUGUUCUGCAAUGAGCUGUAUGAGGAUCGCUUAACCACCAUUUACUUACAAGUGAACUAUUUCCCCGGCAAGUUUGAUUUUAAAGCCUUAAACGUACUAUUGAGUCAUGCAACCAUCCGCAUUUACCAAGAACAGACCACAUUUCCAGUAUUGACCCGAUAUUGACCAUUUCACACCCGAAAACAAUGGGCGCCAACAACCAUAAACUGGUCAAGUCAACAUAGAAUAAACCCUUGAAAGAGUCGCUCAAUAACAACGAAAACGCAUACGAGACAUACACUGCCGGACAAAAGUAGAGCAACGUUUUGAAAUGUACAGGGUGUCCAAGAUAAUGAUGCAUUGCAUGGGGAACUCCGAAACCGCAAGAGAUACAAAGUCGGUUAAAUUAGGAAAAAGUUGCGCAAUUAAGGCGUUUUCAAAAAACAAGUAUUUCUUUUAUCUUUUCAGAUAUUUAGAAAGUU